RNAcentral lists this ribosomal RNA (465 nucleotides) under Vreelandella stevensii. Its description in RNAcentral is "partial 16S ribosomal RNA". It matches the Rfam family "Bacterial small subunit ribosomal RNA", at positions 338 to 795 of the family's 1533-position model. Lineage: Bacteria; Pseudomonadati; Pseudomonadota; Gammaproteobacteria; Oceanospirillales; Halomonadaceae. The record is from RNAcentral.
CCUACGGGCGGCAGCAGUGGGGAAUAUUGGACAAUGGGCGAAAGCCUGAUCCAGCCAUGCCGCGUGUGUGAAGAAGGCCUUCGGGUUGUAAAGCACUUUCAGUGGGGAAGAAAGCCUUGGGGCUAAUACCCUCGAGGAAGGACAUCACCCACAGAAGAAGCACCGGCUAACUCCGUGCCAGCAGCCGCGGUAAUACGGAGGGUGCGAGCGUUAAUCGGAAUUACUGGGCGUAAAGCGCGCGUAGGCGGUCUGAUAAGCCGGUUGUGAAAGCCCCGGGCUCAACCUGGGAACGGCAUCCGGAACUGCCAGGCUAGAGUGCAGGAGAGGAAGGUAGAAUUCCCGGUGUAGCGGUGAAAUGCGUAGAGAUCGGGAGGAAUACCAGUGGCGAAGGCGGCCUUCUGGACUGACACUGACGCUGAGGUGCGAAAGCGUGGGUAGCAAACAGGAUUAGAUACCCGGGUAGUC